UGGGGAAUAUUGGACAAUGGGCGAAAGCCUGAUCCAGCAAUGCCGCGUGAGUGAUGAAGGCCUUAGGGUUGUAAAGCUCUUUUACCCGGGAUGAUAAUGACAGUACCGGGAGAAUAAGCCCCGGCUAACUACGUGCCAGCAGCCGCGGUAAUACGGAGGGGGCUAGCGUUAUUCGGAAUUACUGGGCGUAAAGCGCACGUAGGCGGCUUUGUAAGUCAGAGGUGAAAGCCUGGAGCUCAACUCCAGAACUGCCUUUGAGACUGCAUCGCUUGAAUCCAGGAGAGGUGAGUGGAAUUCCGAGUGUAGAGGUGAAAUUCGUAGAUAUUCGGAGGAACACCAGUGGCGAAGGCGACUACCUGGCCUGUUCUUGACGCUGAGGCGCGAAAGCUAGGGGAGCAAA
This 400-nucleotide ribosomal RNA is filed under the name uncultured bacterium. Its description in RNAcentral is "bacterial SSU rRNA". It matches the Rfam family "Bacterial small subunit ribosomal RNA", at positions 355 to 772 of the family's 1533-position model. The record is from RNAcentral.